Molecule: long non-coding RNA, 1204 nt
Organism: Cyprinus carpio (common carp)
Lineage: Eukaryota; Metazoa; Chordata; Actinopteri; Cypriniformes; Cyprinidae
Source: Ensembl
GUUUUGUAAAAUAUUUUCAUUUUGUUUAAUAGAUCUGAAAUAUUUGUUUUAAACAAAUUAUACUACUGACAUAAAAUACAAAUAAUAUAAUAAAUAAUAAAAAGUUAAAAUAAAUCAAUUAAAAGGGUAAAAUAAAUAAACAAAUAAAUAAAUAAUAACUUUUUAAAAAGUAAGCAAAUUUAUUAAUAAAUAAAUAUUAACUUUAAUCACCAAUAGAGCAGUUUCAGUUUACAUCCCAGAGACAUCUGGGUUUCCCCUUCAGUGCUACUUUCUUUGUAAAUGGAAUCAUGGCAGCCAGGAUCAGUUCCUGCUGCGAGUACAGAUUUGCCCCUGGCUUUCAGCAAGGCCGCAGGAGCUGCUUCAGACUGACCCGUCUAAAUGGAGGAAAACCCUGCUACAAGUGAGAUACAGUAUGAUGGCAUGCAUCAUCAAGAAAAAGAUUUAAAGCAGGAUUUCUUCUCAAGACCAAAUGGGUUGUCAUUGCAAACAUUUUCUCUUUUUACAGAUGUGUGAAUUCAAGGCACGGUAUUGGCACCCAAGCGAUCGAUAGUCCAGCUCUAGCCUUGCAACAAUCCAUCAGUUCUAAUGAAGGUAUUAUGGAGUCGUGCCUUCUUCCCCUUUGUUCGUCCCUCUUGGAAUGGAAAGAUCGGUGCAGAAGAUCAGAAAGCUCUCUAAAGAUGGAGGUGCUUUGUCUACAGACAGUGAAGAUGUAAAUAGCAGUGCAAAAGAAAGAAAACGUCACAAACACCAUAAAGGACCACGCAGCCAGCAAGGAGAGGGCAAAAGUUUGGAAGAAUCGCAAGCACAUAAAAAUGGGAAUGAACCUGAAGACAAACCACCUUCCAACACCAAAGAACAACUGCAAACAUCAGCAAAAGAACAUGUGCAAGGCAAGGAGAAUUCAGUGACUGAAAACAAACCUAAAGUGCCAGAUUCAUUGCAGGAAGGAAAAACCCUGACUAAGCGCGACGGCGAGAAAACAAUGGAUGCUUCGAAAUCGCAUGGAAAAAGCAGGAACAGGGAAAGACUGAGGGACUUCUAUAAAGAAUGUGUUGAAAUGAGCACUGGUCUGGAAUCAGGCCUAGAGCAACAGAGGUGGUUCAAAGUAAACAGUGAGUCAAGAACUGCGGCUCAUUGCUCACAGACAAGGUUUCCCCCUGAAGCUUUCAGCCUGAUAUUGUGGGAGUCAAUCAUUUUGCCAUAA